AUUGAACGCUGGCGGCAUGCCUUACACAUGCAAGUCGGAACAGCAGCGGACCUUCGGGUGCCGGCGAGUGGCGAACGGGUGAGUAAUAUAUCGGAACGUACCUUUCAGUGGGGGUAUAACGUAGCGAAAGUUACGCUAAUACCGCAUAUUCUGUGAGCAGGAAAGCAGGGGAUCGCAAGACCUUGCGCUGAUUGAGCGGCCGAUAUCAGAUUAGCUAGUUGGUGAGGUAAAGGCUCACCAAGGCGACGAUCUGUAGCGGGUCUGAGAGGAUGAUCCGCACACUGGAACUGAGACACGGUCCAGACUCCUACGGGAGGCAGCAGUGGGGAAUUUUGGACAAUGGGCGCAAGCCUGAUCCAGCCAUGCCGCGUCGAGUGAAG
This 380-nucleotide ribosomal RNA is filed under the name uncultured bacterium. RNAcentral describes it as "bacterial SSU rRNA". It matches the Rfam family "Bacterial small subunit ribosomal RNA", at positions 30 to 410 of the family's 1533-position model. The record is from RNAcentral.